AUUGAACGCUGGCGGCAUGCCUUACACAUGCAAGUCGAACGGCAGCGCGGACUUCGGUCUGGCGGCGAGUGGCGAACGGGUGAGUAAUAUAUCGGAACGUGCCCCGGAGGGGGGGAUAACCAGUCGAAAGACUGGCUAAUACCGCAUACGAUCUACGGAUGAAAGUGGGGGAUCACAAGACCUCAUGCUCGUGGAGCGGUCGAUACUUGAUUAGCUAGUUGGUGGGGUAAGAGCCCACCAAGGCAACGAUCAGUAGCUGGUCUGAGAGGACGACCAGCCACACUGGGACUGAGACACGGCCCAGACUCCUACGGGAGGCGGCAGUGGGGAAUUUUGGACAAUGGGGGCAACCCUGAUCCAGCAAUGCCGCGUGUGUGAAGAAGGCCUUCGGGUUGUAAAGCACUUUUGUCCGGAACGAAACGGUGAAGGUUAAUACCCUUUGCUACUGACGGUACUGGAAGAAUAAGCACCGGCUAACUACGUGCCAGCCGCCGCGGUAA
This 500-nucleotide ribosomal RNA is filed under the name uncultured bacterium. RNAcentral describes it as "partial 16S ribosomal RNA". It matches the Rfam family "Bacterial small subunit ribosomal RNA", at positions 30 to 523 of the family's 1533-position model. The record is from RNAcentral.